Molecule: ribosomal RNA, 468 nt
Filed under: uncultured bacterium
Lineage: Bacteria
Description: partial 16S ribosomal RNA
Rfam family: Bacterial small subunit ribosomal RNA
Source: RNAcentral
GAUGAACGCUGACAGAAUGCUUAACGCAUGCAAGUCAACUUGAAUUUGGGUUUUUUAACUUAGAUUUGGGUGGCGGACGGGUGAGUAACGCGUAAAGAACUUGCCUCACAGCUAGGGACAACAUUUGGAAACGAAUGCUAAUACCUGAUAUUAUGAUUAUAAGGCAUCUUAGAAUUAUGAAAGCUAUAUGCGCUGUGAGAGAGCUUUGCGUCCCAUUAGCUAGUUGGAGAGGUAACGGCUCACCAAGGCGAUGAUGGGUAGCCGGCCUGAGAGGGUGAACGGCCACAAGGGGACUGAGACACGGCCCUUACUCCUACGGGAGGCAGCAGUGGGGAAUAUUGGACAAUGGACCAAGAGUCUGAUCCAGCAAUUCUGUGUGCACGAUGACGUUUUUCGGAAUGUAAAGUGCUUUCAGUUGGGAAGAAAAAAAUGACGGUACCAACAGAAGAAGUGACGGCUAAAUACGUG